This 800-nucleotide long non-coding RNA is filed under the name Pan troglodytes (chimpanzee). Its description in RNAcentral is "lncRNA (ENSPTRG00000054044.1)". The record is from RNAcentral. Lineage: Eukaryota; Metazoa; Chordata; Mammalia; Primates; Hominidae.
UUGUCGAAUGAAUCCAUCGUCUCCUUUAGCUUUUAAUCCUUUAAAGAGCGCUGAGAGUGGAAAUCAAGAGAUUUUUUCCAUGGGGAAGUUCUUUUUACAAAGCAUUGAUUUCUCGGCACCCCGCGGGGCGGGCAACUGGCAGGGCCUCUGCAGAAUGGGGAAAUGGAGAGAGAACCUGAAAGAGCCCCAAACUCGAGGACCUAUUGCUCCCCAAGAAUAACAUCUUCCAGAACUAGACAGAAACUAAGCGUCUGGAAACCCUGAAAUCCUUGGAGGAGUAGCAUCAUCCUGACCCUCUGUGUUCCUUUUGGCAAAGGACUUGCUUCCAUUGUUUGUUUGUUCAAUUGUCUGUUUGUUAAAUAAAUAAAACUCUUUUCAUAUAUCUUUAAAAGUACGUUGGUUCUAUUAUUUUAUGAUUACAAACAAUGCUGCAGUCAUCAUUCUUCUACACUUGUCAUUGGCCACUGGUAUAUUUCCAUAGGGUGGAGGCCUGGAGAGCAGUUGUUCCAGCAUAGUGCUUACAUAGCUUUUAUUUCAUUCCGUUUUCUUUCCUUUGUUGCUUUAUUAGCUAUAACCCUUUUCUUAUUUCAGUGGCUGCUUUAGGGUUUCUGGGAUAUGUCUUUAAUUUAUCACAGUCUGCUUUCAAGUGUCAUUAUGUCUCCCUUUCUGGCCUUUAUCCUAGUGUUAUGUAAUUUUACUUUAUGCAUUAUAAUCCUUGUGAUUCAUUAUUAUUACUUUUAUUUAUUACACCAAAUAUUUUUUAAAAGAUUUAAAUUCUAAGAAAAUGUGUAGUACAUGCU